CGCCACGCCCCUCCUCAGGGCGGAAGUGCCUGGUGGGAAGCCCGGCUUGGGAGGGUCCUGGAUAGCGAACUCAGCCGGCGUCAAGCUCCUGCUUGCUGAUGUGAUGGGAUGCAGCAGCUCAGCGCUCAGUUACUUUAAACUUGUCUGUGGUCCCGUGUUCCUGAGGAUGCACACCGUGUUCACCCUUCUAACAAAAGAAGGAGCCGGUCAGCCUGGGACUUCACUUCAUCUUGGCCUCUGCAAAGGGAUCUCAAGGAAACCUGAAGAGAAGGAUGGAGAGGGCUUCCUCCACUGCAUCGCAACGUGCCUGUGAUAAGGAAGGGCCCAGAAGGAGGCUCGGGUACAAUUCACCGUCGGGAACUCACUUAAAGUUGAUGGCAUUGUGAUAGCGAUAGGGCAGACAGGUCAGGUUCAAAAAUAUCCUGACUCCAACCCCUUGAAAGUCACCUGGGAGAAAAUGAUUAAGGCAUAGCUUUUGCCUAUAGCAGGUUGCAAGACCCUCUCCUGGCAUAAAAUUUGUUGUGUAAGUUAAAUACACAGAUAAAUUCAGAAGAAUUGUUUCAGAAUAUGAAUUUAAGAAAGGAUCUCAAACUAGAAAAGAGAUAUAAGAAAGUCGUAGGUAUGGAAAUAUAUUUUAGUAUGGAAAAUUAGUAGGUAAAACAAAUGUUUCUACAUGAGAAAGUAUUUUAUAUGGUAAAUUAAUAUUCUUGUGCUAAAGUCCAAGAAGAAAGAGGGCAAAACUAAGAAAAUAAACAAGUUGUGAACGUCUAAGUAAGUUGAAGAAGUUUUGUGGAAAGCAAAUCUCAAAAAGUCUGGGUAUGUGAUUAAAUUGGCUGUACUUAGCACAGUCAGU
Molecule: long non-coding RNA, 853 nt
Organism: Sciurus carolinensis (gray squirrel)
Lineage: Eukaryota; Metazoa; Chordata; Mammalia; Rodentia; Sciuridae
Exons: 3
Source: RefSeq, a predicted model, not a curated record